AAAAAAUGAGUACUACAGCUGCUCCUGUUUUGUGAUUCAUGCCUGCUAAAGAUCAGGACUGAUUUAUCCAAUUGUAUUAUACUAUAAAGCAUCUUAAUCAUUUGACCACAAGUUACAAAGGGAAAGCCUUGUUCUGUGUCCAAUUUAGUAUUUUUGCGCCUAGCUUUGAAAUGGGCCUAUUAUAAUUACACUAUGGAUUAGGAUCAAAACUUUUUCAUGCCUUGGUAAUUCAAAUCCCAUGUUUAAUUGAUAUUUAUAAAAAAAAAUACCAGUCUGAAAAGGGAAGUAGUUUGGAUUAUGUACAGUUUAUAAUCUGCUCAAAGAAAGCUGAAAAACUCAAUAUGAAGGUGAAGUGAAAGAAACUGUAGCUUCCACGAUCAGCUUCAGAGAUCUGAGUUUGCAAAAUUAGAGGUCAGAUAGAUUUGGCCAACAAAUUUUAAGUUAUAAGUCCAGAUACUUUCCCACUUAAAUACUCUUAGUAUCUUGAGAUAGACAGCAUAUGCUGCCUAUAGCCUGGCUGAAAAACCAGACCUUCUUCUCUUCGUGGCCCUGCCCUUCCUCUCUUCUCCUCUUCUCGGCCCUGCCCUUCUCCUAUUCUCCUCUUCUCAGCCCUGCCCUACACCUCUUCUCGUCUUCUGGGCCACACCCUUCUCCUCUUCCCCUCUUAUCUUCUUCCCCACUUCUGGGCCACGCCCUUCUCCUCUUUUCCUCUGCUCCUCCUCAGCUCUGCUACACUUCUGGGCCCUGCCCUUCUCCUCUUCUCCUCUUCGUGGCCCUGACCUUCCUCUCUUCUCCUCUUUCACUCUUCUCCCCUUCGUGGCCCUGCCCUUCCUCUCUUCUCCAUUUCCGCUCUUGUCCCCUUCGUGGCCCUGCCAUUCCUCUUCUCCACUUCUCCUCUUCUCGGCCCUGCCCUUCCUCUCUUCUCCUCUUCCGCUCUUCUCCCCUUCGCGGCCAUGCCCUUCAUCUCUUCUCAAUUUCCGCUCUUCUCACCUUUGUGGCCCUGCCCUUCCUCUCUUCUCCUCUUCAUGACCCUGCCCAUCCUCUCAUCUCCUCAUCCGCUCUUCUCCUCUUCGUGGCUCUGCCGUUCCUCUUUUCUCCUAUUCCGCUCUUCUCCUCUUCGAGGCCCUGCCCUUCCUCUCUUCUCCUCUUGUCCUCUUCGUGGCCCUGCCCUUCCUCUCUUCUCCUCUUCUCCACUUCGUGGCCCUGCCCUUCUCCUCUUCUCUUCUUAGGCUCUUCUCUUCUGGGCCCUGCCCAUCUCCUCUUCUCCUCUUCCGGGCCCUGCCAUUCUCCUCUUCUCCGCUUCUCGGCCAUGACCUUCCCCCUUCUCCUCUUCUCCUCUACGCAGCACUGCCCUUCUCCGCUUCUCGGCCCUGCUCUUCUCCUCUUCUCCUCAGCGGACCCUGCCCUUCUGCUCUACGGCUUUUCUCCACUUCUCGGCCCUGCCUUUCCUCUCUUCUCCUCUUAUUGCCCCUGCCCGUCCUCUCUUAUCCUCUUCUCCUCUUCUCGGCCCUGCCCAUCUCCUAUUCCCCUCUUCUCCUCUUCUCGGCCCUGCCCUUCUCCUAUUCUCCUCUUCUCGGCCCUGCCCUUCCUCUCUUCGCCUCUUCUCCUCUUCUCGGCCCUGCCCUUCCUCUCUUCUCCUCCUCUUCGUGGCCCUGCCCUUCCUCUCAUCUCCUCAUCCGCUCAUCUCCUCUUGGUGGCUCUGCGCUUUCUCUCUUCCACUCUUCUCCUCUUCAUGGCCCUACCAUUCCCCUCUUCUCCUCUUCCACUCUUCUCAUCUACUUGGCCCUGCACUUCCUCUCUUCUCCUCU
Phasianus colchicus (ring-necked pheasant) is the source of this 1808-nucleotide long non-coding RNA. NCBI's taxonomy places the organism in Eukaryota, Metazoa, Chordata, Aves, Galliformes, Phasianidae. The record is from Ensembl.